This is a long non-coding RNA of Dermacentor silvarum, 374 nucleotides long. RefSeq lists it as uncharacterized. The transcript has 3 exons. The record is from RefSeq and is a predicted model, not a curated record. NCBI's taxonomy places the organism in Eukaryota, Metazoa, Arthropoda, Arachnida, Ixodida, Ixodidae.
GCAAGCUAAAUUAACCUACUGUUGUUAACUGGCAAUGCAGCGACCGCUCGCAGUACGUGGCCAGCACAGUCAUCGUGCUGUGCAUCGUAGCCCUGGCGCUGGGCUACAUCUUCACGACGACAGAUCGUGCCGGCCCGACAUCGACUGCCGUCACGACUGCGGGGUCUCCAGCAUAGCUGGAAACAACUAACCCUACGACUACGAAGGCUCCAGACAUUCCAGGCACGGUCAUAUGCAUCACAACUGGGAUCAAGGUAGACAAUGAGAUCAACAAGACCAAGAAGGCUUUCAAUGAGCUGUGUUCGAAAAUUUUGGUUUUGUUCAACUAUGACGCAACGAAAAACUUGACGCAGAGCUCCGAGACAAGUGGCAAA